AUGCUCAAUCAGUUAGGGUGUAGAGGCUACUUACAAAAACACAUUCAAAUAAAAGAUAAAAGAAAUCAAAUGAUUGAAAACAUAAGCAAGUUUACCUCAUCAUGUUUGCCAAAUAAAAUAGACGUGUUGAAUUUUAAGUUAGUAGACAACCCUUCUUCCUUCUUGGCACUGAAACAUCGGAUGAAGAAAUUCGAUGUCGUCACAGAGACGGUGGGCAGAGAAGAACCAUCGAUUUACUGA
Non-coding RNA from Vicia faba (fava bean), 240 nucleotides. The record is from the annotation of a GenBank genome assembly. NCBI's taxonomy places the organism in Eukaryota, Viridiplantae, Streptophyta, Magnoliopsida, Fabales, Fabaceae.